This 490-nucleotide ribosomal RNA is filed under the name uncultured bacterium. RNAcentral describes it as "bacterial SSU rRNA". It matches the Rfam family "Bacterial small subunit ribosomal RNA", at positions 33 to 507 of the family's 1533-position model. The record is from RNAcentral.
AGAGACGCUGGCGCGUGGAUUAGGCAUGCAAGUCGGACGUAGGGCUUUAUCGUAAGAUAGAGUUUGAGAGUGGCGAACGGGUGAGUAACACGUAGGAAUCUACCCUUAAGACGGGACAACCCAGGGAAACUUGGGCUAAUACCGGAUGAGAGUGCGAGAGAUUGCAUUUAAAAGGAUGGCGAAAGUUGUCGCUUAGGGAUGAGCCUGCGGUCUAUUAGUUAGUUGGUGAGGUAAGAGCUCACCAAGGCGAUGAUAGAUAGGCGGCCUUAACGGGUGGUCGCCCACACUGGGAUUGAGAUACGGCCCAGACUCCUACGGGAGGCAGCAGUCGAGAAUAGUCUACAAUGGCCGGAAGGCUGAUAGUGCGACGCCGCGUGAACGAGGGAGCCCUUCGGGGUGUAAAGUUCUUUUCUAUACGAGCAGUGCUAUAUAUAUGGAUAGUAUAUAUAGAGGGAUAGUAGUAUAGGAAUAAGCAACGGCUAACUCCGUG